Non-coding RNA from Callorhinus ursinus (northern fur seal), 523 nucleotides. Lineage: Eukaryota; Metazoa; Chordata; Mammalia; Carnivora; Otariidae. The record is from RefSeq and is a predicted model, not a curated record.
CUUGGUUGAGGGUGCAAGGCAAGUGAUUUGACCUCUGAGUUUGGGUGACAGGUGGGUGGAGACCCCAUCGACUAAGGCUGAGCACUGCCCCUGUGAGAUCCACUGGGGACAGUCACGUGGGAGAGGAAAGUGGGGAGGGGGGAGACCAAUUUUGAAUGGAAAAGGAAAAUGCUCAGCUCCAAAUUAGCAGCAUUUUCCUCUGGCCUUGCUUUUCUUCACUUGUUUACCUGUAACUUCUUCCAACUCCGGCUGCUGGGGACAGAGAGAAGCGGAAGACAGGAAUCCUCCAGGGGCUCAGAUGCUGCUCGGCUCGCGAUGUAGCCUGACAAAUCAAUUCUUCAAACUCGUCCUGCCUGGUCUUGCUGAAGUGUAAAUUGCAGAGAGGGGAGUGGAGCCAUCCUCAGGCACUGCGCAGGCCAGGUGGUCCUGGGGGUUCCACCCUUGCCGAGAGUCCUUCCCUGACCACCUGAGCACCGGUCCUGAGGUUGGAUCCUGAGCAGCUGGCUGGACAGACGGAUGGACA